Dermacentor albipictus is the source of this 2357-nucleotide long non-coding RNA. RefSeq lists it as uncharacterized. The record is from RefSeq and is a predicted model, not a curated record. NCBI's taxonomy places the organism in Eukaryota, Metazoa, Arthropoda, Arachnida, Ixodida, Ixodidae.
UACUGGAUAGCCAGCUACCUCCAAAUUGACUCGAAUAAUUUUAUACUUGAUUUCUGCAUGCGUGAGAUAUGCAUGCUUUUUUUAUCGCAAUAGUAACUAUGGGGUGACUCCAAGCGAAUGUUUGCCGUCUGCGACGCCGUGAGGCUCCAAAUAUAUAUUUAGGCAUAGACCGUUUUAUCGGCGAGGAGGAACGCAGCCUCGAACCAGCGCCCUCCGCCGCUCUCCUCCUCCCACCGGUAUGUGCGGAUUCCGUUUUCGCCCAGCGGCAGCUUGGAAAGGUAGCGGUCUAAUUCGCGAUUAGUGCGAUUUUAACGUGUCUUGAUUGGAAUUUCUGCGAUGUCAGAUGACACAAGGUCGACAAGCUACCACUCUGCUGUGUUCGGCUGCAAAAAUAACUUUCGGAAGCAAGCGUGAAAUGCAUCUUCAGCCGCGGCAACUUCGUGGACACCGCCGCUGCGAUAGCAGAGAAGUGUCCGCUUUGUAUUGCCGGAAUACACAGAAAGGACUUGAUGCCAUCGCGUGUGUGUUCGGAAGGUUUUGUUCCCAGUGAGCGCUCGGCGACGAACUCGGAAUUCGGCGCCCAUCAUCACAUUGGGAAAUGAAAGAAAGGUCCAUGGAUCCUGCGCGCUGCAGCUGCGAGCUCCAGGCCAUCACGUCAACCCGCGCGUGCUCGGAGACGGUGGAGCGGCGGCCUGCCAGCCUGGACGAUGGGGGCGCCUGCAGGCGGCGCCACAGCGACCCCAGGGAGCCGAACAAGGUGCGCAGCAGACGGCCAAUCUUGGACAGCCAGCGGCCGUGUCGCGGCGGCAGGCUGCACUCCUCGCGCGCUGUCUGCAGCUCGAUCUCCACGAACGGGUCCAGGUCCGCGGCAUCCUCCAGGAUCAUGGCUACAGCCGCCGCCCUUCGGCCCGCUCACGCCAUGCCAGGAUGAUAAUGUCCAUCACCAUCUGAAUGUUGAUGAACGCCGAGAAUGUUUCGGCAAAAGACGAUGGCAUGGAGAGUUCCUGUCAUUUGGUUUCAUGACAAUGCGCCCUUUUCAUUUUUCUUCACAAGGAACAGGCUGACGAUGUGUCCAAUCUCUUCCUUUUAGAGCGUUAGCUUUUCUUUGUUUGUUGCUCACUCUAACACCGUUAGCCCCGUACACAGCGAGACAGUUGAGCGAGAGAGGCGCCAAAAGGUGUCUGCCAUGCAUCCGUAGUUAUGCCGUCGUGGUUGCUCUAUCGUCGUCAUUGCAGCUUCUUCAUCUGAUUCGCAUCAUGCCGUCGCCGUGCUAUACGCCUGCCACUCCAGCACGUGCCCUCUUCGUCAUGUAGUCCUUGUCGUUCCAGCUUCGUCAACUGAUUCUCGUCACGUCGUCGUCGUUGUACAGUCGCCGUCACGCCAUCAUCGUGAUACACUCGUCGUCAUCAAAUUGUGGUCAUGCCAUCGUCAUUAUAUACAGCCUUUGUCGUUUCAGUAAUGUCAUCCCUUCUCCGUCAUUUCACCGUAAUCCUGCUGUCGUCAUUCAGUCGUGAUUAUCGCGCCCUUGUCAUGCUAUCACCGUCAUGCAGUCGUCGUCAUGCACGCGUUAUCUUACGUUCCGUUGUCGUCUUGCCAGCUCCUGGUCCAAUUCUCGUCACACAGUCGUCGUCAUACACCGUCGUCACACAGUCAGCGUAAACGCAUUGUCAUCGUGCCGUCGUCUCCACGCUGUUGCCAACCGUUACAUCAUCGUCAUCUCAGAAUCGUAACCUCUAUUGUCGCCAUGCCGUCGACGCGUCGGCUGCACCAGUAUUGCGGCGAGCAUUCGAGUAUGGGAGAGUAAUCAACGACAAAAAGCAUUUACACUCAAAUAUCAUCGAGGAAGCAGGACCUUCAAACCAAGGUGUCAACCGGAAAAGCUUUCGGGUUUAGUUUUGGUUCAGGUUGCAGACGUCUGUAUAUUGUCACAAACCUUCAGAAGACUCUUGGGGUUUUAAUAAACCUCAGAGCAGCGGGCUCUUGAAAAACGCGUCCGUCGGGGUUGGCUCGCGAGCAGGGAAGGCGCGCGGCCUUCCUUGUUCUUCAGGGCUCGACCCACUCUUGCCCUCGACCCACUACCUACAUGUGGAAUUAUCCCCCCUUACGAUCAAAAGCGUCGUCUCGAUGCGGCAAAAUAAGCGUAAGCAAUAAAAACAAAACAAGCAAACUAAAAAAAUAACACAACGCCGACAAAGCGAGAGUACGAAAAAAGAAACCUGCCGCGGCACAGUCAAUGAACAGAGAGGCAAGCUCACGAAGAUAGAUGAAAAGCAGAAACAAACAAAGGUGAAUGAGAGAAAACAAAUUAUGAACGCGCAGUGCACGGCUUCAUGUGCACAACGUGAACUAUUUCCGAG